Long non-coding RNA from Passer domesticus (house sparrow), 10012 nucleotides. RefSeq lists it as uncharacterized. The record is from RefSeq and is a predicted model, not a curated record. The transcript is spliced from 7 exons. Lineage: Eukaryota; Metazoa; Chordata; Aves; Passeriformes; Passeridae.
UCAGCCUUGAGGGGACCCUUCUCUCGAAGGGAGCACUUUUCCCUGCGGAAACCCUCCUUUUUGAGGGGACUUUUCCCUCCUUUUUUUGAGGGAACCCUCCACCCUGAGAAAGCCUGAGCUCAGCGUGAAGCCUCCUUCUCCUUCGAGAUGGGCAAAUUCACACAAAUCUGAUAGUGAUUCAAUGACAUUCCUCUGGAAACUGCUGGAGAGGUCUUUGCCCACACGAUGGCAUCGCGUGUUUAGGAAGUUCCCCACACUGCGGGCUCCGAGCGGGUUUGGAUUCCUCCGUUUACACACUGUGUGUUAGAGGUAAAUCCUGUGUAAUAAAUUGGUUCAUCCCUUUCCUUUUAACUCUGCGUAUGACUGUGAGGACAAAACUCGGUUCUUGGUGGAAAUUGCUCCCUGGGCUACAUGGCAGGUCCUGGAAAAGGUCUAGUGUGUGUUUGGUUUCCAUCCGUGUUAAUGAACUUCCAGCUGAUGCCCAAGGAGAAAAGUGAAACGUUGCACAAUGAAAAAAAAAAAAGCUUUUUCAUUCAAGUUAACUCUUUCUAAUUUAAUUUGUUUUUAAAGAUUAGUCUUUCUGUGGAUGUAUUGCUUAACAUGCAAUUGGAUAUUUACAUUUGUUUGUUUUACUGGUUGUAUUUCAUAUGUUACCUCUUUCUGUAGGACCUUUUUCAGUCUGGACAUACAAGAUUUUAGAUUCUAGUCUUACUGACAACCAGCCAGCUAAUUCUGAUUGACCAGUGUCAUCUUCACAAAUAAAUUAUGAUUUCAAGACCCUUUUUCUCCAACUACUGAGCUCAGAAUCAGCCCAAAACUACUGAAAGGUACCUGGCCUGGCUUAGCUCCAGUUUAUGCUCUUGUUCAAGCCUUGGCCGUUUGUGACAGAGCUGACUGUGAGCUGUGGGCUUGUUUGCCCUGCCAUCAAUCUAACCCGAGCUUCCUGCUGCUCCUGGAUGCAGUUUUGUCACUUGCCUGUGACAUUAGGCUGUAAACUGCAGGGUCACCAGCUCUUAAAGCCACAAGACACUCACACUAAAUCGCACAGAUUAUGCUCCUGCUGCGGGGGAAUUUCCAGGUCAGAGGCUAACCACCUUUUCAACUCCUGUUCUUUGCACCGAGAGUGUAAAAAGUCAAGCUGGGAACCUGGUGCUUAAGGGCAGCAAUUCGCAGCUCUCCUUAAAUGAGUCGUCACUUCCUCGUGUGUAUUUUCAGCUACUCAGCAGAGCUGGUGGAGUGUCUCGAGUGCUUUGUUGCUACCAGUCAGAAAGAGAGAAUACACUAAGAUGCCUUUUAAGGACAUUCAAGAAUGGACUGAUGUAUAAAAAAGAGGAAAAGCACACAAGAAAGUUCUUUAAGCAAUUGUGGCUAAUUUUGUGAACUGGUGUUAGACGUUUAAUUGCAGAGGGAAAAAAAUCAAAACCACUAAAACCCAAACUAUUUAUUUAAAAGACUAUAUACUUUUGACUUUAAUAAAAUGGAAUAGGUUUGGUUUUAUUAGUUUGCCAAGACCACAGAAAUUUUAGAUGACCUUAGUUCCAGGUAAUCCUCAUUUCAGUUCAAGACUCUCAGUUCAGGUGUGGAGUGUGUCUCUCAGAGUCCAAAGCCUCUGGUUACCUUUCACAGAGCAACCCAGAGCCCAAAACACACACAGUGCAGGUUGUGGGAGCAUCCAGUUGUUGCUGACUGCUCUGUGCUGAGAUCUCUGCUCCAAGAGUAUCCAGGAAAAGGCUUCUGCUGCCGACCAUCUGCAGCUGCUGUCGGUCAGGCAUUGAUCUGACCUCUGAGGGACAGAAAUCCAUUCUGUUCCCUGCCUGGUCUUCAAGGCUUUUUAUCCUGGCAUUUAAAUUGGAUUUUAUUCAAUUUUAUUUAAAUCCACUGUAUCAACACUUAAUGAACAGAAGCCCUCCCACUCUGCUCUGUGGCAUCCCAUUGUAUACCAGCUUUUUGUUCUUGUGUGUGUGCUAUACAUAUUCAUGUCCCUUAAUCUUUCAUGCUAAUGUACAUUUCCCUUUCCUAUUCUUUUUCUCUUCUUAUCAUUAAAUACCUGGAUGAUACUUAAAUGUCAGAAAAGCCCUGAGAAAUGCCACAUACUGGAGAAAAAAUAGUUUUUGUUUAAAAAGCCCUGAGCAUGAGAAUAUCUGCUUUCCAGGCUGAGGGACUAUUCUGGCCAGCUCUGAAAAAAAAGAGAUCUCUUGAGAGAAAAAGAUUUAUGUUGCUGGUGGUGUUUUGAUUUUGAACUUUGAUAUUGAAAUUAGAGGUUCAGAAAUGAAUCCUGUCUUCUCUCUAGCUCAUCUCUGCCCUGACAUGAUAAUGGGUCACUUGGAACAAUCAGCUGGCUUCAUUAAUUAUUAAUCCUAACACAUGGCAAAAGCAAUCUGGAGAUUUGCUGGAUGUGUGGGGGUCUGUUGAUGGAAAUGUAAAGGGGGCAAUUAUCAGUCUGAAAAUAAAUGGGGCUGGCAAGUGCCAAAGAGGAGCGGGAAUCAGGAGGCUUAGGUAUAGCUGGAAGAAUUAAAAGAUAUUUUAUCUUACACUCAGAUUUAUAUCUUAAGUUACAUUAAAGUGAAAACUCCUACAGCAGGGCAUGUAGUUCACAUGAGGAUUGGGUUACUUGGCUGAGCUGUGGUCUCUGCAGAUAUGCAUUUAUAAACCUCCACAAGAAUUGUGAUACUGCUGAGUGCAUAGGAAAAGCAGUGAGCUGUUCACUUUUAGGAACUGAUACCCAGUCGAGCAAGAAUAGAACUCUUAUCCAUGCAUUGUAGUAGCUUCUUGGGCAUUUAUGCUGAGGGGAGCAAACAGAAUCUUGAGACACGGAGUAAGAGCUGCUACAUAACAUGAAUGCUGUUUGGAGGUGACAUUUUAUCUGCACAGACCUCGGUAGUCUGAUGGAUAGCAAUACUCAUCGCCACUGCAGAGAGGGAAAUGGGUGCUUUUGCCCCAAAGUGGGAUACUGUGAGAGAGGUUUUUCCUAUGGCCUCUCCCUCUGCUGCACCAGAACAGGAGCUCAUGUUCUGCUGGUUUCAAAGGGGCUCUCUGUACACUUCCUUUCUGUCAAUAAUGCAUUGAUGAGGUUUGUGCACAAUAACAUCUUACUUGGAUAUCAUAAAGAACCCUUCCUGGGAGAGUGGUGUGUUCCAGCCCCUGCCUGCUCUGUGAUGUCUGCUGCUCUCCUCUGGACAUUGUCUGGAUUCAGCUCCCAGGUGAGCUCUCCCUCCCAACAGCCACAGGCCCCCGUGGCAGUAGAGCCAUCUGUGGCAGCUCCAGACACCUCACCCCAGGUUUUUCCUGCAUUAUCCAGCUCCAGUGGCAAUGGAAGGCAGGGAUAGAAAGGUGAACAACUCCUCCUCUCACCCCUAAAUUGCUGAGGAGGGCUGGCAAACCACAAAGGGCUUUCUCCUGCUUAGGCUGCCACAGCUCAAGCAAUGCCACGGAUUAAUGGAGCUCCAGACUGUCUGAUGGAGUUUUUCCCACAGAGCAAAAUAUUAACUAAGUCAAUUGAUUACAUUUUCAUUUCUUGAGGGAGGUGCAGCCCACACAUCCCAUUGUGUGUGAGCACAGACAGUCUGCUGAAGCAAUACUGUGUUAUCUCACUGGUGCUUUGUGCUGCAUCUCCAGCCCCUGCCUCUGCUGUAAAAGGAAAUGGAAAUUCUUGCUCCCAAGACCUAUCUGACAAAGAAAUAAAUUCUUGUAAAGUCAGUGUCCCAAACUUAGGAAAUUACAGUAUCUGCUGCAGCAAAAUGCUGUGAUAAACCCCCAUCCAUCUGGAAUGUUUCCAUAAUCCACUACAGAUUGCCAAUUAAUUGCAUACUUAGUUCAAUGUAAUAAGGACAGGUAAUAGGCUGUAUUAGUGUAAGUCCCUCAGGGGCAGUGGAAAUACAUCACAAUAUUCGUAAAUAGUGUAUUUUUAUUAAAGCAAUGCCUGCAAGCUUCUGUCUGCUACCAGAAACUGAUUGUGUGGGGAGCUGUACGUGUAAUGAAAGGCCAGAUUUACAGCACACACUCCCAUUAAGUGAAGCACUUAAUUGCUUACUUCAAGUACCAGUUCAAAUAAACUGAUCUCAUCUAUUUUCUAAUUAAAUGUGGGAAAUUAUAGUGUGGCUGGUUGGGACACAAGGUUUUUAAACCCUCUUCAAGAGCAAGAGGAACUGUAAACAGUGUCUUAUGCCAUUAAGAUUAAAAUACGACUGAAAUCACAGAAAGAUCCUUUGAACAAUGGUGUGUGAAAUAUUUAGGAUUUUGCACACAUAAAUAAAUCACUUUUUUUUUCUUUUUGCUAGCUUACGAAGAAUCUUUUGUGUCCAUUUUGGAUUUUGACUAAAAUUCCCAUUAAUUAAACCAAUGACAUAAUGAGAAGUCAUAGCUUUUAAACAAACACAUAUAAUUCUUUUUAUUUGGAUGAAUUGAUGUUUUUUUCUGUGCUCCACUGAACAUAAUAUCCAUGAUGACCUUUUUCUGCUCACAGGAGAUCUAAUAUUUUACAGCAAUGUUUCUGGGAAGCAACUUGGUAAACAGCAAUUGUUAACCAGAGGAUAAAAAAAUGGGAAAAUUGGUUUGGAAAUCAAGUCAAAUUGCUACAGGAUUAUUAGGGUCUAAGGAAUUAUACAUCUUUAUUUCAUUUAUUGCUGCACUUAGUUAAUCUUGCAUAUCUGUGACAACCACAAGAGAGUUGUGUGCAUUCUCAGUUUUAAAUUUUCUGAGCAUUUUGUGUGUGUGUUGUAUAACUGCAACAUUUUAGUACCCAAAUACUAUAGCUCUGUACCUGCAUGUGAAAUCACUGCUGUAGAACCAGAGAUGGAUACAGUGUUCAUUUUAAAUGGAGUUACCUCAGGAAAGUCUUGGAUUGCUCUGGAAUGCCUGUGCCUGUUACCUGUCCCAAAAACUACCUGACGGUUUUCAUGUUGAUUUUUAACACGUUCUCCUGUGAAUUUUUCAGAAAUGAGAAAGCUGAGCACAUUUAGAACAGUUUGCUGCUAUCAAGAACCAUUUUGUCUUUGCUGUUUCCUUCUCCUCAGGUUGUCACAUGACUGAUGAAGCAAAAAUUCACUCAUGAGCCACUGCUUGUAAGAAGAGACAGGAUGAAGCUGAGCCUCCCUGCCUCUUCAUGUAUUAUACAUGUAAAAGUCAUGAUAAUUUCAUAGGAUUUCACACUCUAAAAAUAACGUCCCCAUGACCCAGGGCCCGUGGAUCUUCCUCGUAGCAGGCACUACAUGAAUUAAUCACUCAGCUCCACUUUUGUGCCAUAGACUCAGUUUAGCCAAUUCCCAGGAGUGCCAGGCAUUGCAUUUGCUGGUUCUGUUAUUUAUUAGCCCUGGAAACAUGAAGCACUCAUGUCCACAGGGAGGGUCAGCUUCCAUUUAGCCUCCCCCAAGCACAGACAUUAUUAUUUUAGCAUAAUUUAGCUUUGUUAUGCUGCUAGGGAGAAAUUACUUCAGUAGAUUACAACUAGAUGGAUGUUUUCCUCUCUUAAAUGCAAAGGGUUUUUUGCUGUUCUCAAAGGGGUUUUAUACUAUCAAACUAGAGAAUCUCAUUCCUGUAAUCUAAUCAAAGAUGUUAAUAUGGAGAGCAGUGGUUACUAACCAAAUAGAAAUCUGCCACUGUCUCUUUUCAGUCCUGAUAAGACUCUUUCUUUUUAGCUGAAAACCAUCUGGGAAGCAUCUGUGUCACGUGCAGGCACUUGCCUGCCUUGAUAAAAGGUUGAGAAAAUACUGAUUAGAGCCAUUUGAUCUGGCUUGGAAUUAAAGUGCCUAUAGAAACUCCCUCCCACAGUGCAAGAUGAAACUACUGGUAACAUGUAACAGAUCUCAGGAAGCUUCUUACACCUUCAAAUAGGAGGGCAAGGCUUCCUGAAUCUAAAAUCUGAAUUUUACAACAGAAUUCCACCACAGUUUCUCUGUGUUAGAGAUAACUUGUUCCUAGAUAGUAUUUUUUUAAUUAACAAAAACUUUUCUGUUUUGCUGGCCCAACUGAGCAAUAAUAAGAGCUGACAAACCUUUUGUGUGUGCGUGGAGAUCUGCUCUGUAUUUAACAAACAGCACUCUUCUCCCCCCAGCUCUGCAAACACACACUUGUAAAUCUGAAUCAAAACCCAUUCAGGACAUUUCAUCUUAAGUGGUUUCAUCUUAGUGUAAUUACCAAGUCAUGUGAGGAGCAGCAAACAAUUGUCUGCACAACAAUGGAGAUGAAAUAAAGAUAGCCUCUAAUUAAUUCCAUCGAGGUUAUAAUUAAUUUUGACUGAGUUGCUCAGGACAAUAUCCUUAAGUCUCACAGGCUGCUCUAAAAGGGGGCUGAUCAGCAGCUGCUGCUCUUUGAUUUUCAGAGCAGAUGGGGCUAUUUCCAGCUAGUGCUUAAAAGGAAAUGAUGAGGAGGAGGGUGGGGAGUGAUUGAUUGGCUUUGAGCAGACCUUGGGGUGAGAGUGCUGGAGGAAAUGCUCUGGCUGAGAAGUAGACUCUGAUAAGGAUUGUUCCAUGCUGGCAAAAUCUCCCAUGGAAAGUCCAAGAGAAAAUUCAAGGAAGAUCUGCAGUUUGCAGAGUUUUGCAUUGCUUGCUUCUGGUUUAUUCAGUUUCCCGUUAGGCUUGAAAAGGAACUUAGCCUGAUCUUGAAAUGCAGAAGUAGAGAGAAGUAGAGAGCCCACACCCUGUUCAUGCUUACUCUGCUCUUUGCAAUCAGUGUUGGUUAGUUCCCUCUUGGACACAGAAGAUGAGACCAGGAUGCUGUUUCAAGUUGCAGACACUGAAACCAAAGGCCUUUUUAUGGUGUGCCACUUCUGUCUCCUUUGUCCACUUGAAACAGGUUUUUCCAAUGUAAGAAGCUUACUUAACCCAGGGUUUAAGGCUAUUUUUAUCCAGUGUGAAAUGUGCAUGUAAAGAAAGCCUUUGGAGGUAGAGGACAGCACUGUUUACUUUUCCUCAAGGUCUCCUUUAUGCUUCAGAAAGAUAUAUCUACUCUCUGGAAAACUUAGAUAAUAUUCAGAUGUCCUGCACACUGAUAUUGCUUGGGUCAGUUCUUUGAGGGGUGAAGCAGCAGAUAAAUUUGCAAAAUUCCACUGGUGCAGUAAUUCAAAUGAACUGUAAUGUCAUUGCUUUGCAUGGUCCUGAUUUCUACAGAGAUUCUGGAUUCUUAUCUCUGAGGUCUUACUGACUCCUAUCAAAUAGAUGUGGAAUUUUUUUCCUUCCCUGCAUUAAUUGACUACUGCUCUUGUGCUGCUUGCAGUAAUAAAUAAGGGCCCUCCUGUGUUCACCUCAUUUUAGCUACUAAAAUUGCCACUAAUUCAUUAUAUAUUCAGGAAGGAUCUUUUUAAUCCACAGCUCCUUAGCACAGCUUGGGGGUCAGCACAUCCCUUUGUGCUGCUGCUCCCCAGCAUGCCUUGGAGGUGUUUGUGUAGCUGCCAACUGGUGGGGUCAAGGUUCCAGAAUGUAAAAUACUGGUGCAGAGAUGACAGCCAGGAUUCCACAGACUUUCCCAGAGCAGCCAUGGCCCUGUCACAGCGCAGUUUCACUCCACCUUAAAUGCAAAAGCCUGUCUGUAACCAUUGUGAGCUUUUAAUCGCUCCAAUUACCCUGCUUUCCCCAUGCUGACAGCUGGCAUGCACACCAGUCCCUUGGUAAGGCUUCCAGGAGAGGUGCAUUUCUAUUUUUCAGUCCAGUAUAUGACCACAGCACCAAGCACAGCCCCAACAACACCCAGCAAUUUGCUCAGCUGGAGUUUUCUGAUUUUUCACAGAAGAUGCUUAACGUAGAAACUAUUAUAAUGAGCAAGAUCACUGCCCUUGCAGAGGAUGCAGCAACACAGAGCAAACUGAAUCCAGGGGAUAAUUAAAAUAAAUAAAAUUAAUGAUGCCAGAAUUAUCAUUAACAGUUUGGUUUAAAAAGCUGGAGGUAGCUGGAGGUUUAGCAACACAUAUUUGCCUUUUGAUUCAAAAGUUAGUAAACUCUAUGGUACCAGAUUAAACAUGUAAAUACAUAGAAGAAAACAUACUCUGCCAUGCAUAGAAGCCAUAUUGUCAUGGAAUAGUCUGAGUUGGGACUCACAAGGAUCAUGAGUCCAACCCUUGGGUACUCAGCUUUGUUCCUUUGCAGCCUCUCCUGAAUGGCUACUCUGUGCUGACUUGCCCAGCAAGAUUAUAAUGGGGUUUUUUUUGGCUAAUGGAGGAGGUGGACUCUUUCCUCUUUCUCUUAUCAUGAGAAGUCCUGCCAGGUUCACUGAGAGUGUUCCUUCUCAAGUACCUGAUGAACAAAGAGGCAAAACAAUCCCAGCAAUCAUAACCUGCCUCUUUAACACCUAAAUCCCACCUGCAGAUCCUGUCACUCUUACACAAACUGAGCCCCUGAAGGAGGGCUAUGGAUUUCACCCUCUGGGAGGCCUCUCAUGUCUUGGGAUGGGCCAAAGAUGGAGUAACUUGCCAAAGACCAGAGCUAGACGUGUGUUUUUGUCUUAGCAGCAAUGCCAUCUCAUGCUACUCUCUAAGUGACCAUCCAGCAUCCUGAACUGUGGGACUGGUUAGGCUGAGCAUUUGCUUUCUAAAGAAAAAAAAUGGGGAGUUGUUGGUUUUUUUGUUUCCUUGGGGGUUUUCCCCUGUAUGUCCUGCUCCUGUCCUUCACUUGGCAUAUCCAAAGUCUGACAGAUACUUGUGGCUCAGGGAAGGAGAUGGUUCUAGGUCAUGCUUAGCAGUUGGUUCUUGCUACUGUGUUAUACAAGACCUUACAAAUACUGCAAUGUCACCAAAUUUCCAGGUGUUCUUCAGAAAUAUGUUCUCUGGAAAACCUCUCCAAAAAGCACUGAGUUGAGAGCUCCCACUUCAAACACCCUGUCAAAAUUGGAUGUAAAAACCCUAUUUGAAAGGAAACAAUUGAAUUCAUUUGCCAAUCUGGCCCAUUAACAGAAAUUAUUUAUGCUCCAAAAGCAGCUGCACUGCAAAGUUUUCCAAUGUUUAACAGACAGCUGCUUCUCCUCUGUGCUGAGCUGGAGCUGUGGCUGCUGGUUCCUUCUCCAGUGAUAGAAAGGCUGGCAGAAAUCUUGGCUUCAGCUCCCUUACAAAUAACAGUGAAACCAAGAGCCAGGAAAUGUGGGCACAAAUGUCCUGGAGGGAGCUGUCUCAUGGCUGUGGUUUUACACCCACCUCCCAUCUCUCCUGCUGUAGCAGUUUGUUUAAAAGCUGCAGAAUAAAAGUUGCCAUGGGAUCUCUCUCCAUCUGUACCAGUGCAGAGCUGCAUGCUUUCUUUUGUGUUUGACUCCACAGCAGCUGCCUGCAGGGCUGGGUGCUCACCCUCCGUGUGUCCCUGCAGCUCCAGGUCCUCUCUGGAAAUCCAGUGUGCUUCAGUGAGCAACUGGGUGCAGGCUCUCAGCUCACUGCAGAAUAACCUUGGUGUGUUGUGGGAAAGGAGGAGAAAUUUAGGAUUUACCCUCUCCAUCCAUAAAUCAGUCCUGUUGUCCAAAGUAACUUCAACCUCUCCGUGAUUUAGGUGUGUGAGGAUCUAAAUCCCAGGUUUGCUGUAGCCUCAAUGUCCCCAGCCAAACCACUCCAUGCCUUUGCCCAGCAGCCCCUGUCCCUCUCCAGUCAGGAGGUGGCUGAGCCUUGGGAACAGCUUUUGAAAUGAGAAUUUGUUUUCAAAAGACAAAUUUUAAUUACAUAAAAUUAAAAGUCAUGUUUUAAUUGUACUAAUUCUUCCCCAAAGUGGAUGUGGCAGCUGCUGGUUGAUGUUUCAGCAAAUGGAGGUACCCAAGCAGCCCCAGAGAGGGCACAAACCCUGUUCACUUGUGUGUGCCUUCAGCUCUACCUUUACUCAGACAGGCUCAGAAUUGCUUUGGCAACCCCAGCCACAAACUGCAAAGGAUUCAUCCUAAAACCUUAUAAGGCUCAUGCUUUAAGGGCUUUUCUCCCUCUUUCUUAUUUUCUCCAUCCCAGAAAUCAGUUCUGAACAGAUGGGCCUACGGCAGCUUUAUCAGGGACCCUUUGCUCCCUGAUUUCUGAGCCUGAGCUAACACAGCUGCUCUUGGAGGCAGUGGGAAUAUCAGG